AUGUUUGAGCUGAAGAUGGUGAAGGGAAGCACCUUACAGGGUGUCCUGGAGGCGAUCCUCGACCUGGUCAAUGUGGCCAACGUCGACUGCUCCAGCAAGGGCUUCUCGCUCCAGGCCCUGGACACCGAACACGUCGUCUUCCUCUCGCUCUUCUUCCCCUCCGAGGUCUUCCGGUCCUACCGCUGCGACGAAGACUGCUCCAUGGGCAUCGCAAUCGCCGACAUGGUCGAUUUGCUCCGCGCCUCCAACGAUGGUGACAUCAUCACCAUCAAGGCUAAAACUACGGAUAUGGAUUUGCAGCUUGUGUAUGUGGACGCCCCAAGCCAUCGCCUCAAAAUCUCGGAAUGGCACGAUAUGGAGUCGGAGUACCAGGCCAUUUUCUGCAUGCCCUCUGCGCAGUUUAUGUUGAACUGCAAGUCCCUCAGCGUCAUCGGCGACGAUGCUGUAGUUGUCAUCAGGGUGAAUGAGGAGGUCAUCAGCUUCUCUACUAAAGGAAAACGUCGGUGCGUGAACAUUUCCCAUGUGCUGAACAAAACUGACAAGCAUGUUACCCUUACACAUGCGCGAGGGCCAGUUUCAUUGGCCUUGAACCUGAGGUACAUGAAGUCCUGCGCCAAGGUGUCUACCCUGUUUGAUCAAGUGAAGAUCGGUCUCUCCACCACGCUACCUUUGAUGGUCGAGUGCAAAAUUGCAGAGAAGGGCUACAUCAGGUAUUUCGUGGCAACAAAGAACCUAACAGAGGAAGAGGAAGGGAAAACAGAGACCGAAGAGGCAGAGGGAGAGGAAGGGAGGCAAAGGAAGAAAGCAAAAAAAAAAAUGAUGAAACGGGAGAUGAGAUGCUGGGCUGAUGAAUAA
RNAcentral lists this ribosomal RNA (855 nucleotides) under Triticum aestivum (bread wheat). RNAcentral's name for it is "partial small subunit ribosomal RNA". Lineage: Eukaryota; Viridiplantae; Streptophyta; Magnoliopsida; Poales; Poaceae. The record is from RNAcentral.